AAAGAAACUAACAAGGAUUCCCCUAGUAACUGCGAGUGAAGCGGGAAAAGCUCAAAUUUAAAAUCUGGUGGUCUUUGGCCAUCCGAGUUGUAAUCUAGAGAAGUGUUACCCGCGUCGGACCGUGUACAAGUCUCCUGGAAUGGAGCGUCAUAGAGGGUGAGAAUCCCGUCUUUGACANGGACUACCGAGGCUGUGUGGUGCGCUCUCAAAGAGUCGAGUUGUUUGGGAAUGCAGCUCAAAAUGGGUGGUAAAUUCCAUCUAAAGCUAAAUAUUGGCGAGAGACCGAUAGCGAACAAGUACCGUGAGGGAAAGAUGAAAAGAACUUUGGAAAGAGAGUUAAACAGUACGUGAAAUUGCUGAAAGGGAAACGCUUGAAGUCAGUCGCGUUGGCCGGAAAUCAGCCUUGCUUUUGCUUGGUGUACUUUCUGGUUGACGGGCCAGCAUCAGUUUUGACCGGUGGAAAAAGUCUAGAGGAAGGUGGCAUCUUCGGAUGUGUUAUAGCCUCUGGUCGUAUACAUCGGUUGGGACUGAGGAACUCAGCACGCCGCAAGGCCGGGUCUUUGACCACGUUCGUGCUUAGGAUGCUGGCAUAAUGGCUUUAAUCGACCCGUCUUGAAACACGGACCAAGGAGUCUAACAUGCCUGCGAGUGUUUGGGUGGAAAACCCGAGCGCGUAAUGAAAGUGAAAGUUGAGAUCCCUGUCAUGGGGAGCAUCGACGCCCGGACCAGAAGUUUUCUGACGGCCCUGCGGUAGAGCAUGUAUGUUGGGACCCGAAAGAUGGUGAACUAUGCCUGAAUAGGGUGAAGCCAGAGGAAACUCUGGUGGAGGCUCGUAGCGAUUCUGACGUGCAAAUCGAUCGUCAAAUUUGGGUAUAGGGGCGAAAGACUAAUCGAACCAUCUAGUAG
Molecule: ribosomal RNA, 906 nt
Filed under: Psathyrella melleipallida
Lineage: Eukaryota; Fungi; Basidiomycota; Agaricomycetes; Agaricales; Psathyrellaceae
Description: eukaryotic LSU rRNA
Rfam family: Eukaryotic large subunit ribosomal RNA
Source: RNAcentral